GACGAACCGUGCGAACGUUGUUCGGAAUCACUGGGCUUAAAGGGCGCGUAGGCGGCCCUCCCAGUCUCGGGUGAAAUCUUUCGGCUCAACCGGAAAAGUGCCCGGGAUACUGGAGGGCUCGAGGGGGGUAGGGGCGGACGGAACUUCCGGUGGAGCGGUGAAAUGCGUUGAUAUCGGAAGGAACGCCGGUGGCGAAAGCGGUCCGCUGGGCCCUUACUGACGCUGAGGCGCGAAAGCCAGGGGAGCAAACGGG
RNAcentral lists this ribosomal RNA (253 nucleotides) under uncultured bacterium. RNAcentral's name for it is "partial 16S ribosomal RNA". It matches the Rfam family "Bacterial small subunit ribosomal RNA", at positions 524 to 776 of the family's 1533-position model. The record is from RNAcentral.